CCGGCGAGUGGCGAACGGGUGAGUAAUGCAUCGGAACGUGUCCUGUUGUGGGGGAUAACUGAUCGAAAGAUCAGCUAAUACCGCAUGAGACCUGAGGGUGAAAGCGGGGGAUCGCAAGACCUCGCGCGACAGGAGCGGCCGAUGUCUGAUUAGCUAGUUGGUGAGAUAAAAGCUUACCAAGGCGACGAUCAGUAGCUGGUCUGAGAGGAUGAUCAGCCACAUUGGGACUGAGACACGGCCCAGACUCC
Molecule: ribosomal RNA, 248 nt
Filed under: uncultured Burkholderiales bacterium
Lineage: Bacteria; Pseudomonadati; Pseudomonadota; Betaproteobacteria; Burkholderiales
Description: partial 16S ribosomal RNA
Rfam family: Bacterial small subunit ribosomal RNA
Source: RNAcentral